RNAcentral lists this ribosomal RNA (409 nucleotides) under uncultured bacterium. RNAcentral describes it as "bacterial SSU rRNA". It matches the Rfam family "Bacterial small subunit ribosomal RNA", at positions 505 to 916 of the family's 1533-position model. The record is from RNAcentral.
GUGUCAGCCGCCGCGGUAAUACGGAGGGUGCAAGCGUUAUCCGGAUUUAUUGGGUUUAAAGGGUCCGUAGGCGGACUGGUAAGUCAGCGGUGAAAUCUCAUAGCUUAACUAUGAAACUGCCGUUGAUACUGUCAGUCUUGAGUGUAGUUGAAGUAGCUGGAAUGAGUAGUGUAGCGGUGAAAUGCAUAGAUAUUACUCAGAACACCAAUUGCGAAGGCAGGUUACUAAGUUACAACUGACGCUGAUGGACGAAAGCGUGGGUAGCGAACAGGAUUAGAUACCCUGGUAGUCCACGCCGUAAACGAUGCUUACUCGUUUUUGGGAUGCAAAUUUCAGAGACUAAGCGAAAGUGAUAAGUAAGCCACCUGGGGAGUACGUUCGCAAGAAUGAAACUUAAAUGAAUUGACGG